RNAcentral lists this ribosomal RNA (494 nucleotides) under uncultured Geomyces. RNAcentral's name for it is "eukaryotic LSU rRNA". It matches the Rfam family "Eukaryotic large subunit ribosomal RNA", at positions 100 to 600 of the family's 3401-position model. The record is from RNAcentral. Lineage: Eukaryota; Fungi; Ascomycota; Leotiomycetes; Myxotrichaceae.
GGUAACAGCUCAAAUUUGAAAUCUGGCCUCACGGUCCGAGUUGUAAUUUGUAGAGGAUGCUUCGAGCAUGGUCUGGCCUAAGUUCCUUGGAACAGGACGUCAUAGAGGGUGAGAAUCCCGUAUGCGGUCAGGUGCCUACGCUCAUGUGAAGCUCCUUCGACGAGUCGAGUUGUUUGGGAAUGCAGCUCAAAAUGGGUGGUAAAUUUCAUCUAAAGCUAAAUAUUGGCCAGAGACCGAUAGCGCACAAGUAGAGUGAUCGAAAGAUGAAAAGCACUUUGGAAAGAGAGUUAAACAGUACGUGAAAUUGUUGAAAGGGAAGCGCUUGCAACCAGACUUGCGCGCGGCCGAUCAUCCGGUGUUCUCACCGGUGCACUCGGCCGUGCUCAGGCCAGCAUCGGUUUUGGCGGCUGGAUAAAGGCCCUAGGAAUGUAGCUCCUCUCGGGGAGUGUUAUAGCCUAGGGUGCAAUGCAGCCUGCUGGGACCGAGGACCGCGC